This 777-nucleotide ribosomal RNA is filed under the name Betaproteobacteria bacterium. Its description in RNAcentral is "bacterial SSU rRNA". It matches the Rfam family "Bacterial small subunit ribosomal RNA", at positions 77 to 850 of the family's 1533-position model. The record is from RNAcentral. Lineage: Bacteria; Pseudomonadati; Pseudomonadota; Betaproteobacteria.
UGCUUGCACCUGAUGGCGAGUGGCGAACGGGUGAGUAAUGCAUCGGAACGUGCCCAGUCGUGGGGGAUAACGCAGCGAAAGUUGUGCUAAUACCGCAUACGAUCUAUGGAUGAAAGCGGGGGACCUUCGGGCCUCGCGCGAUUGGAGCGGCCGAUGUUAGAUUAGGUAGUUGGUGGGGUAAAGGCUCACCAAGCCAACGAUCUAUAGCUGGUCUGAGAGGACGACCAGCCACACUGGAACUGAGACACGGUCCAGACUCCUACGGGAGGCAGCAGUGGGGAAUUUUGGACAAUGGGCGAAAGCCUGAUCCAGCAAUACCGCGUGCAGGAAGAAGGCCCUCGGGUUGUAAACUGCUUUUGUACGGAACGAAACGGCGCGCUCUAAUAAAGUGCGCUAAUGACGGUACCGUAAGAAUAAGCACCGGCUAACUACGUGCCAGCAGCCGCGGUAAUACGUAGGGUGCAAGCGUUAAUCGGAAUUACUGGGCGUAAAGCGUGCGCAGGCGGUUUUGUAAGACAGGCGUGAAAUCCCCGGGCUCAACCUGGGAAUUGCGCUUGUGACUGCAAGGCUAGAGUACGGUAGAGGGGGGUAGAAUUCCGCGUGUAGCAGUGAAAUGCGUAGAUAUGCGGAGGAACACCGAUGGCGAAGGCAGCCCCCUGGACCUGUACUGACGCUCAUGCACGAAAGCGUGGGGAGCAAACAGGAUUAGAUACCCUGGUAGUCCACGCCCUAAACGAUGUCAACUGGUUGUUGGGAAUUUACUUUCUCAGUAACGAA